UGCUACUCCUAACUGCCCCUCAAUGUCACCCCCACCCCAAGAUCUCUCUCCCAAUUAGGAGUCCAUGCCGCCCCAAGUCCCGCUCGAAGAAUCCCUGAGAAACAUCACCCCGUCCACUUCUUUUCUUAUUAAAACAAAAAGACAGGAAUGUCAUAUCCCACAAAUAUGGCUGCAUUAUUGCCAGCAGGCCAUUAUUGACGGUGGG
This 205-nucleotide long non-coding RNA is filed under the name Homo sapiens (human). RNAcentral's name for it is "LHRI_LNC1284.1". Lineage: Eukaryota; Metazoa; Chordata; Mammalia; Primates; Hominidae. The record is from RNAcentral.